AUUGCACGUAUACGAUUGACACAUCCUUCCUGAGCUACCUUGCGUAACUGCAAAGCUGGUGUCAAAGAUCCACCAUUCUCCUCAUCUUCACCAUCUUCAUCACUAUCACUACUAUCAGUAUCCAUGUCAGUGUCACCGGAUGUUUUUUGGGUGGGCACCAAUUCACGCCUUUUACCAGAAAUAUUAGAUACUUUGAAUAUUCCAAUAGAGUUAUAAGAAGCUUUUUCUGCCUGAGUCCCUGCAACCAAAUA
RNAcentral lists this unclassified non-coding RNA (251 nucleotides) under Hevea brasiliensis (rubber tree). The record is from RNAcentral. Lineage: Eukaryota; Viridiplantae; Streptophyta; Magnoliopsida; Malpighiales; Euphorbiaceae.